CUUACCACUUCAAACAUUGAAGUAGUAACAAAUCUAAGCGAAAUUCCUAGAAACCGACUGGGACCCUCAAUGGGUAACCAUGAGCGGAAAACUUGGCUAUAUGCUGGGAACUCCCGUGUAUCUACUACUGGAAACGGUAGUAGUGGGGACAAUCAGCAGGGAAGUUCUGUCUUCUAUCUAAAGAAUCAGAACCCCUCAACGACUACACGCCAGGAUCCUUAUAUAAUAAGGAAUGUGAUAUAGUCUGAACUGCAUGGCGACAUGCAG
Parcubacteria group bacterium is the source of this 267-nucleotide non-coding RNA. The record is from Rfam.